UCAUCAGAGGACUUGGCUGAAACAACGCGAUUCACAUGGAUUACUUCGGCGAUGUUUUUUAUUGCUGUUGCGAUUAACCUUUUGAAAUGUGAGCAGUUUUUAAGUAUCAAGUGGAUCUGACAUCGAGGGGAAAUAUACGUUUCUUGGAUUUCAUUAAAGUACAUCGGUUUUUGUUUGAAGAUGAAUGAGAGAACAUGAGGCACAGCGGCAUUCAAAUUGACCAAUCAGAGCCGAGAAUAUCUAAUAAGUCGAAGUAGAGAUGAACAGAUGAAGAUACAGCCCGUAAAAAUACUUAUUCUUGGUGAGUGCCAUGUAGCGACGGAUCAAACGGACACUCGUGUCAAGCUUGAUGAGGAC
Molecule: long non-coding RNA, 357 nt
Organism: Paramisgurnus dabryanus
Lineage: Eukaryota; Metazoa; Chordata; Actinopteri; Cypriniformes; Cobitidae
Source: RefSeq, a predicted model, not a curated record